CCGUCCCGGGCGCGGCGGCCCGCCACUCCGGCUCCGUCCCGGGCGCGGCGGCCCGCCACUCCGGUUCCGUUCCGGACGCGGCGGCCC
Molecule: transfer RNA, 87 nt
Filed under: Streptosporangium pseudovulgare
Lineage: Bacteria; Bacillati; Actinomycetota; Actinomycetes; Streptosporangiales; Streptosporangiaceae
Description: tRNA-Arg
Source: RNAcentral